CACCAGUGACCUUGUUCAAGGGCUUUGAUGGAGUUUUGGAAGGGAGAGGAGUAAAGAGGCUUCGCCACUUGCUUGAAGGACAAACCAGGUGUUUGCAUGCUGGAAGGCCUAUCCAGCAGAAGGCUUCAUACAUGCAACCAUGAAAUGUAUUGCAGAGUGAGCCUAGAAACUACUGUAGGAG
Molecule: long non-coding RNA, 181 nt
Organism: Lepidothrix coronata (blue-crowned manakin)
Lineage: Eukaryota; Metazoa; Chordata; Aves; Passeriformes; Pipridae
Exons: 2
Source: RefSeq, a predicted model, not a curated record